GGCGGACGGGUGAGUAAUGCCUGGGAAUAUGCCUUANUGUGGGGGAUAACUAUUGGAAACGAUAGCUAAUACCGCAUAAUGCCUACGGGCCAAAGAGGGGGACCUUCGGGCCUCUCGCGCUAAGAUUAGCCCAGGUGGGAUUAGCUAGUUGGUGGGGUAAAGGCUCACCAAGGCGACGAUCCCUAGCUGGUCUGAGAGGAUGAUCAGCCACACUGGAACUGAGACACGGUCCAGACUCCUACGGGAGGCAGCAGUGGGGAAUAUUGCACAAUGGGGGAAACCCUGAUGCAGCCAUGCCGCGUGUAUGAAGAAGGCCUUCGGGUUGUAAAGUACUUUCAGUCGUGAGGAAGGUUGUGUANUUAAUAGCUGCGCAAUUUGACGUUAGCGACAGAAGAAGCACCGGCUAACUCCGUGCCAGCAGCCGCGGUAAUACGGAGGGUGCGAGCGUUAAUCGGAAUUACUGGGCGUANAGCGCAUGCAGGCGGUCUGUUAAGCAAGAUGUGAAAGCCCGGGGCUCNACCUCGGAACAGCAUUUUGAACUGGCAGACUAGAGUCUUGUAGAGGGGGGUAGAAUUUCAGGUGUAGCGGUGAAAUGCGUAGAGAUCUGAAGGAAUACCGGUGGCGAAGGCGGCCCCCUGNACAAAGACUGACGCUCAGAUGCGAAAGCGUGGGGAGCAAACNGGAUUANAUACCCUG
This 696-nucleotide ribosomal RNA is filed under the name Photobacterium sp. KR05-02. RNAcentral's name for it is "bacterial SSU rRNA". It matches the Rfam family "Bacterial small subunit ribosomal RNA", at positions 97 to 789 of the family's 1533-position model. The record is from RNAcentral. Lineage: Bacteria; Pseudomonadati; Pseudomonadota; Gammaproteobacteria; Vibrionales; Vibrionaceae.